RNAcentral lists this ribosomal RNA (492 nucleotides) under uncultured bacterium. RNAcentral's name for it is "partial 16S ribosomal RNA". It matches the Rfam family "Bacterial small subunit ribosomal RNA", at positions 29 to 507 of the family's 1533-position model. The record is from RNAcentral.
AGUGAACGCUGGCGGUAGGCCUAACACAUGCCAGUCGAACGGCAGCACAGUAAGAGCUUGCUCUUACGGGUGGCGAGUGGCGGACGGGUGAGGAAUACAUCGGAAUCUACUUUUUCGUGGGGGAUAACGUAGGGAAACUUACGCUAAUGCCGCAUACGACCUACGGGUGAAAGCAGGGGAUCUUCGGACCUUGCGCGACUGAAUGAGCCGAUGUCGGAUUAGCUAGUUGGCGGGGUAAAGGCCCACCAAGGCGACGAUCCGUAGCUGGUCUGAGAGGAUGAUCAGCCACACUGGAACUGAGACACGGUCCAGACUCCUACGGGAGGCAGCAGUGGGGAAUAUUGGACAAUGGGCGCAAGCCUGAUCCAGCCAUACCGCGUGGGUGAAGAAGGCCUUCGGGUUGUAAAGCCCUUUUGUUGGGAAAGAAAAGCAGCAGGUUAAUACCCCGCUGUUCUGACGGUACCCAAAGAAUAAGCACCGGCUAACUUCGUG